GAGAAUUAUGUAAGGCAAUAAAGUUAGGUUAGGUGAUACGUAUACAAUAUAAGAAAUUUGAUGGAAACUUAUGGGAAUGCUUGAUAAAAUUUAUCAAGAACUUAUUAUAAAGCUCGUUUCAAAGAUGGCGAAUGUCGUUAGGUCCUUUGAAGCCGGUCGCUCGGACUCUCCCACAUUCGGUCCAACCUGACCGCAUUCCAGUAGGAAUCUGUCUCAGGCUUCUCAGGCCACGGAACAACCUCUGCGUAUCGAUCGCCAAGUCCUGGCAUCUUACGCGACGUCGGGACGCACGUGUCUUGCGAUUUGAUAGAUUAUUAAUUAGUUUUCACUAAUUAGGCCUGGCAGCGGGUCGCUUUCUAGCACUGUCAGAAAGAGGAAAUCAUUUACGAAGGAAUAAGAGAAAAAGGUAUAACCGAAAUAAUUCACGUGGACGAUUACAAUAUUGUCAGGAUGGUAAUAAGGUGUGUCAGAACUUGUUAGCUGGUGCACGCUGCUAUUUGGUACAGUGGGCUGUACCACGGUAUUGCUGGCUCGGUGACCUAGUGACCUCGAGACUCCAAGAGCCCCGUAGGCCACCUUAGGAUAAAUUGAACCGGGUAUGCAUAAAAGUCGAUUGCGGUCUUGGCAACAGGUGUGGGAGUCAACAGUGGAACAAUUGACGGAUCCAUGAGAGUUAAUAAUAACCCAAGUACAGACAAUUUCAAAAGAGGAACAUUCUUGUGUUACGAAAACAAAAAAAAAUCACAAGUUCGAGGUUAAGAUUCGAGUCUUAUGAAACGCCCAGAUUUCAUUAUAUCGAUAUACACCCAAUCAUCGAUUAUUGAUUGUUCGAUUAUGUUUCAUGAUGAAUCUCGGCCCUUCUCUUUUCUACGUGGUCUUUGUUCACGGGACACGUUUACGGCUCGUGCGUAACGCACAAAAGAAAAUGCGCGUGCGAUGAGUCAGAAAGUUACAUUAUGGCUUGAAGUAAGAAUCCACCACCUUGUGACAAUGGCUCGUCAGGUUGUUUUUGACUGAAGAUUCAACCUGAGAAACCCGCACUGAAUGUUAUUGCAUCCACAUUGCGCCCACGCUUGAAUACCAAAGCGGAUAACAGCGGAUUCACCUGUAUGAAUUGGCUUUUAUAAAGCCACACGGUAUAACUCAAGAUAAAGAAGUCCCUUUAUUACCAUCAAGAGUUCUACGCCCCUUGCAUAAACUAUCACGACACCCUGUUUGAACUUUCAGGUCAAGCCUGCAACGAUUCACAAAAAAAGGUGUAUUCUGUUACUGCAAUGCCAAAUAUUAAUUGUUCUGGCGGAAAUUAUAUAUACAUAUACAAAGGGCGUGCAUCAUCUGGCAUGGAAUUCUGUAUUCAAGGAUGUACCUGGGAUAAACGCGUGUCGACGGACUCUACUAAGCACGUGUUCCUUCCCACUCUCAGUCCACUGUUUUUCCUUACAUGGAGAAGCAUACCUUCGCGACAGUCAAUUCGAUUAAAUUCAAUGGCUUCAUGGCGAGGAUGCAACGUGCUAUGCAGCGGCGAGUGGGCCGUUGCGUCAAGUCGUGAGACACCUGAUCAAACAGGAGUGCAGAGUACGUAUCGGGUGGAUAAAGAGAAGAAUUUCUAAGAAGAAGAAGGGAAAAAACAUAAGAACGUCAGUGUCGUUGCGUAUUGAAAAAUAAUAUUUUCAAAAGCGCCGUUCCUUUCAAAAUUAAUAUUAUAAGCGUGUACGUCGAUCAAUCAAUUUUUUCUGCAAACAAUUCAACGUCACACGUGUUCGACUUAUACGAUUCUAUUAUACAUAUAUAACGUACCCCAUUAUGUAAUACGGAAUGAAUUGUUAAGAGCGGCGGGAAAUUCAAAGGCGUACAGUCUCCUUGUCUCUUUAGUCAGAAAGUAAAUGCAGACCCUGUAAUUUAUUUUCACGAGGCGCAAUGAAUCCUUUUUACGACGCGUAUAAACGAGAGCGUUAACGCACUCUGUGGAUUUCGUAGGCCGUUUACCUCUACAGAGUCGCUGGACAAUUAUGCCGCUCUCGAAAUGGCUGUGCAGGCAGACCGAUACAUAAGCAAAAGGAAAACAAAGAACUUAAGAGCGACAAAAAGAGCCCGGAGGAUGCAGAAUCCUGUAAUAAUUACAAAGAAAAAAAAGAAAGAAUAGAUAAAGCGCGCGUGCGCGAGCGGAAACCGCGACGAUAUUAAUUUUCGGAUAGCAAAAAGAUCAUCAUUAAAACAGAAGCAAUGAUCCCAAGCAUGAAAUCAUUGUAAUAACAACCGGAAGACGUACUUAGGUUUAUCAUAUCUCUAGUAAAAACAUCAGUAGCCUUUUAAUCUGUGUCAGAAGUAUAAGAGUAUAAAAUUCUUUGUCUCUUGUCGCCAAUUAACUGAAACCGCGUUAUUUGUAAUUUAACAAGAGUAAUCUUUCUGGAGGCUUGGACGAGACAAAGAAGAAAAAUAAUGGGAGUUAGCUAGAAUUAAUUUCGCACUGAAUUUUUUUGUUAAUUAAAGAACCUACUUUUUAAUUUGAAAUUAUGUUAAACGCUUUAUGUAACGCGUAUCUGGGCAUAUAUUGUAAGACACGUAAUACAAAUUUCUGAACUUUCUCGGGAGUGGUGCGUUUAUUUCAAAGCUUGUAAACUUGCCGGAGCGUUAACUUGCCAAGUUUCACUUUUAUUUAGCUCUAUAUAGUCAUAUAUGCACAGAGUCAUUUUCUCGCGCUUCUUUCCAAGACGGUUUCACCGCUCCUUUCAGACAAGUUUGGCCUUCGUUAUAUAUAAACGUCUGUAUACAAUCCA
Molecule: long non-coding RNA, 2777 nt
Organism: Cephus cinctus (wheat stem sawfly)
Lineage: Eukaryota; Metazoa; Arthropoda; Insecta; Hymenoptera; Cephidae
Exons: 5
Source: RefSeq, a predicted model, not a curated record